Molecule: long non-coding RNA, 397 nt
Organism: Perca flavescens (yellow perch)
Lineage: Eukaryota; Metazoa; Chordata; Actinopteri; Perciformes; Percidae
Exons: 3
Source: RefSeq, a predicted model, not a curated record
UCUGUUGCAGCAUUUAGGAUUAGAGAACGUCUCCUCUCAUGGUGUAUAUCUGCUUUAUAUUCUGAGCAGUCUGGAGCUCCAGCUGAAGAGAAAUGACUCAGAGGACUUAAAGCUGAGACAGACUGAGCACGCUCAGUUGCUGCUUCACCUGCCCCACCUCACACAGCUGACAGACAGGAUCACAUGGAGCAGAGGCCUGGACUACAAAGCAGGAUUUGGCGAUACCGAGUUAACUUCAGGUUCAACCAGGGUUUUCUGUACCACGACGGUGGAUCACCUGUUACCGGGUUCAAUCACCAAUCAAUACUCUGAUUGAUAACGGUGUCACCGUUCUUAUAGAAGAUCAGGCGGAGAGAGAGAGAGAGAGAGAGAGAGAGAGAGAGAGAGAGAGAGAGAG